This 465-nucleotide ribosomal RNA is filed under the name uncultured bacterium. RNAcentral describes it as "partial 16S ribosomal RNA". It matches the Rfam family "Bacterial small subunit ribosomal RNA", at positions 28 to 507 of the family's 1533-position model. The record is from RNAcentral.
GACGAACGCUGGCGGCGUGCUUAACACAUGCAAGUCGAACGGAAAGGCCCCUUUGGGGGUACUCGCUUGGCGAACGGGUGAGUAACACGUGAGUAACCUGCCCUUGACUUCGGGAUAACUUCAGGAAACUGGGGCUAAUACCGUAUAGGAAUCCUUGCUGCAUGGUGGGGGUUGGAAAGCUUCGGCGGUUUUGGAUGGACUCGCGGCUUAUCAGCUUGUUGGUGGGGUAGUGGCUUACCAAGGCUUUGACGGGUAGCCGGCCUGAGAGGGCGACCGGCCACAUUGGGACUGAGAUACGGCCCAGACUCCUACGGGAGGCAGCAGUGGGGAAUAUUGCACAAUGGGCGGAAGACUGAUGCAGCAACGCCGCGUGCGGGAUGACGGCCUUCGGGUUGUAAACCGCUUUCAGCAGGGGCGAAGCUUGUGGUGACGGUACCUGCAGAAGAAGCACCGGCUAACUACGUG